CCAGUAAUCAUAUGCUCGUUUCAAAGAUUAAGCCAUGCAAGUGUAAGUACAGCUGUAUCGAGAAACAGUGAAACCGCAAAUGGCUCAUUAAAUCGGUCACAUUUUAAUGGACCGUAAAUCCUACUUGGAUAACUGUGGUAAUUCUAGAGCUAAUACAUGCCUCGAGUCUUCUCCCUCUUCACGGGGGGAAGAAGCGCACUUAUUAGACCAAAACCGAACUUGGCCUCGUGCCUCGUUUCAGUUGCGGUGACUCUGGAUAAUUCUGGCAGAUCGCAAGGUCCUCCGUACCGGCGACGUAUCUUUCAAUUGACUGCCUUAUCAACUGGAUGGUAGGUUAAACGCCUACCAUGGUUGUAACGGGUGACGGGGAAUCAGGGUUCGAUUCCGGAGAGGGAGCCUGAGAGACGGCUACCGCAUCCAAGGAAGACAGCAGGCACGUAAAUUACCCAAUUCCGGCACGGAGAGGUAGUGACGAAAAAUAACGAUGCGGGACUCUUACGAGGCCCCGCAAUCGGAAUGGGGGUUGCUUAGACAACCUAUCCCACAAGCUAUUGGAGGGCAAGUCUGGUGCCAGCAGCCGCGGUAAUUCCAGCUCCAAUAGCGUAUAUUAAUGCUGCUGUGGUUAAAAAGCUCGUAGUUGGAAGUCAGUCAAGGCCGGGAGGUCCCGCCCAAGCGGCGGCGACCGCGCCCGAGUUGCCGAGACAUAAAGUGCCGCCGCCCCUCGAUGCCCUUCGCUGGGCGUCGUACGAUGGCGGUCGGCCCCGAGUUACUUCGAAAAAAUCGGAGUGCUCAGAGCAAGCGUAAAGUUUGGCUCGCACGAUAAAACAUGGAAUAAUGGAAUAAGACCCCCGGGUCUAUUUUGUUGGUUUUCGGACCGGAGGAGGUAAUGAUUGACGAGGACUGCCGGGGGCAUACGUAUUGCAGGGCGAGAGGUGAAAUUCGCAGACCCUUGCAAGACGACCUAGAGCGAAAGCAUUUGUCAAGAAUGUCUUUCUUAAUCAAGAACGAAAGUUAGAGGCUCGAAGGCGAUCAGAUACCGCCCUAGUUCUAACCUUAAACGAUGUCGACCAGCGAUCAGGGCUCGUUCCGUACGGAAUGACGCCUCUGGCAGCUCCCCCGGAAACGCUCGAGCGAGUGGGUUCCGGGGGAAGUAUGGUUGCAAAGCUGAAACUUAAAGGAAUUGACGGAAGGGCACCACCAGGAGUGGAGCCUGCGGCUUAAUUUGACUCAACACGGGGAACCUCACCCGGCCCGGACACUAGAAGGAUUGACAGAUUGAGAGCUCUUUCUUGAUGCAGUGGAUGGUGGUGCAUGGCCGUUCUUAGUUGGUGGAGUGAUUUGUCUGGUUAAUUCCGAUAACGAACGAGACUCGAGCCUAUUAAAUAGGCCGCGGAUAAGCAGGGUCCGCUACUGUGCUCUUCUUAGAGGGACAGACGGCUUUCAGCCGUACGAAACGGAGCAAUAACAGGUCUGUGAUGCCCUUAGAUGUCCGGGGCCGCACGCGGGCUACACUGAAGGAGUCGGUUGGCGAGUUCACCCCUGAUCCUGCGGGACUGGGUAACCCACCGAACUUCCUUCGUGAAAGGGACUGGGGCUUGAAAAGCGCCCACGAACGAGGAAUUCCCAGUAAGUACGAUUCAUCAGAUCGUACUGAUUACGUCCCUGCCCUUUGUACACACCGCCCGUCGCUACUACCGAUUGAACGCCUUAGUGAGGACUUCGGCCUGGGGCCUGGCGAGAGCCUGUCUGCUCCCGGAAAGAUGUCCGAACUUGGCCGUUUAGAGGAAGUAAAAGUCGUAACA
This 1802-nucleotide ribosomal RNA is filed under the name Spirobolellus sp. Australia. RNAcentral describes it as "SSU rRNA". It matches the Rfam family "Eukaryotic small subunit ribosomal RNA". The record is from RNAcentral. Lineage: Eukaryota; Metazoa; Arthropoda; Diplopoda; Spirobolida; Spirobolellidae.